GACGAACGCUGGCGGCGUGCUUAACACAUGCAAGUCGAACGGAAAGGCCCUGCUUUUGUGGGGGGCUCGAGUGGCGAACGGGUGAGUAACACGUGAGUAACCUGCCCUUGACUUUGGGAUAACUUCAGGAAACUGGGGCUAAUACCGGAUAGGAGCUCCUGCUGCAUGGUGGGGGUUGGAAAGUUUCGGCGGUUGGGGAUGGACCCGCGGCUUAUCAGCUUGUUGGUGGGGUAGUGGCUUACCAAGGCUUUGACGGGUAGCCGGCCUGAGAGGGUGACCGGCGACAGUGGGACUGAGAUACGGCCCAGACUCCUACGGGAGGCAGCAGUGGGGAAUAUUGCACAAUGGGCGGAAGCCUGAUGCAGCAACGCCGCGUGCGGGAUGACGGCCUUCGGGUUGUAAACCGCUUUCGCCUGUGACGAAGCGUGAGUGACGGUAAUGGGUAAAGAAGCACCGGCUAACUACGUG
This 468-nucleotide ribosomal RNA is filed under the name uncultured bacterium. Its description in RNAcentral is "partial 16S ribosomal RNA". It matches the Rfam family "Bacterial small subunit ribosomal RNA", at positions 28 to 507 of the family's 1533-position model. The record is from RNAcentral.